GUUAACUGCCAACAGUGGAAAGUAAAAUCAGCCACCAAAUACUCAUCACGCAGUUUUACAUGUAUCUUGUGUAUUACCAGUUGUACGUUAGUUCCCCCUUCAACCAUAGUUAACUUCUCUCUUCUAUAUAUGCUUCCCUUCACCGAUACUCAUCUCUCUCUGUGUGUAUAUAUAUUAAUAUAUAUAUACGUCUGUGUGUGUGAGACUGAGGACUCUGCUAUCUUACAAAACAAGAGACAACAGUUCCAAGCAAUCUCUCUAUCUCUUUAUCUCUUUCUCUUCCCCUAUAAAUUAGGAGGGAGAGAAAGACGCUCGAAAAGGACCAGUACUGGCCUGGUUAAGGAGUUUUGUACCCAGUCAACUCAGAAGAGGAAAUCGGAAGAAGAAGCGGAAGCAGAAGCUUAUGAAUUGGUUGCAGAAGAUGGUUUUUCCUGUAAGACGUGUUUGGAUUGCCGUUGCUGCGCGUGUAAAGUCCCGUAACAAUGGUGGUGGGCUAUUGAAGCUACACGAUGACAUACAAACAUGUGGAUACGAGGAUGUACAAGUGAUGUGGGAGAUGCUUCAUAGAACAGAAUCAGAGUUAACAUCAAACAGUCGUCGAAAGCGCAAGCCUAGAUCCUUCUGGAAGAUCUUCAUAUGGCAAAACAACAAUACUUGCUCUUCACCUUUCUCCAUAGACCAUGCUUAAUUAACAACAUCAAAGUCGGUGUCUCCUUACUACCUACAACAAAAUAUGCAAGAAAAAAAAACGUACAAGUACGUCGAUAUAAUUAGUAUGACUUUGAUAUGUAUCUCGAUAGGCUAUUGUGAUUCGAGUGACAAAACUCCAUAAUAGCCAAGUCGUUUUUUUGUAAAUAUAUCAUGCCUUUUUUUUCAAGAUCCAAAUCAAGUCAUACAUAAGAAAAAACAUUACUUGAAUAAACCAUGUGAUGUCUUACUCUUUAAUGGAAUUAUGGAAUCACUUUUGUUGUUGCCAA
Molecule: non-coding RNA, 977 nt
Organism: Lactuca sativa (garden lettuce)
Lineage: Eukaryota; Viridiplantae; Streptophyta; Magnoliopsida; Asterales; Asteraceae
Source: RefSeq, a predicted model, not a curated record